GGCUCUGUGGCGCAAUGGACAGCGCAUUGGACUUCUAGGUGAGAGAAGAAGGCAUUCAAAGGUUGUGGGUUUCGAGUCCCACCAGAGUCA
Molecule: transfer RNA, 90 nt
Filed under: Danionella translucida
Lineage: Eukaryota; Metazoa; Chordata; Actinopteri; Cypriniformes; Danionidae
Also listed under: 1 other name
Rfam family: tRNA
About the family: Transfer RNA (tRNA) molecules are approximately 80 nucleotides in length. Their secondary structure includes four short double-helical elements and three loops (D, anti-codon, and T loops).
Source: Rfam by way of RNAcentral